AUUGAACGCUGGCGGCAGGCCUAACACAUGCAAGUCGAGCGGAUGACGGGAGCUUGCUCCUUGAUUCAGCGGCGGACGGGUGAGUAAUGCCUAGGAAUCUGCCUGGUAGUGGGGGACAACGUUUCGAAAGGAACGCUCAUACCGCAUACGUCCUACGGGAGAAAGCAGGGGACCUUCGGGCCUUGCGCUAUCAGAUGAGCCUAGGUCGGAUUAGCUUGUUGGUGAGGUAAUGGCUCACCAAGGCGACGAUCCGUAACUGGUCUGAGAGGAUGAUCAGUCACACUGGAACUGAGACACGGUCCAGACUCCUACGGGAGGCAGCAGUGGGGAAUAUUGGACAAUGGGCGAAAGCCUGAUCCAGCCAUGCCGCGUGUGUGAAGAAGGUCUUCGGAUUGUAAAGCACUUUAAGUUGGGAGGAAGGGUUGUAGAUUAAUACUCUGCAAUUUUGACGUUACCGACAGAAUAAGCACCGGCUAACUCUGUG
RNAcentral lists this ribosomal RNA (484 nucleotides) under uncultured bacterium. Its description in RNAcentral is "partial 16S ribosomal RNA". It matches the Rfam family "Bacterial small subunit ribosomal RNA", at positions 30 to 507 of the family's 1533-position model. The record is from RNAcentral.